GGCCGCGGUAGUAUGACCGUGCUAAGGUAGCAUAAUAAUUUGUCCUUUAAUUGGGGACUGGUAUGAACGGUUGAACAAGAAAUUAACUGUCUCUAUUGCAGAUUUUGCAAUUUUACGUUUAAGUGAAAAGGCUUAAAUGAGAUAGGGGGACGAUAAGACCCUAUAAAUCUUUAUGUUUUAACUAAUAAAUUUUAGGGAUUAGUUAUAUACCUAGUAUUAUUAGUUGAAAUAUUUUGUUGGGGCGACAGGAGUAUAAUAAGUAACUGCUUUGUUUAUAAAAUUAAUUGUUUUUAUUGUGGAAAUUGGUAUGAUCCUCUUUAGAGAAAUCAGACUAAGUUACUUUAGGGAUAACAGCGUAAUCUUUUUUGAGAGUUCAUACGAAAAAAUGGUUUGCGACCUCGAUGUUGAAUUAAAGAUCCUUGAUGGCGUAGGGGC
Molecule: ribosomal RNA, 435 nt
Filed under: Panulirus inflatus
Lineage: Eukaryota; Metazoa; Arthropoda; Malacostraca; Decapoda; Palinuridae
Description: partial 16S ribosomal RNA
Rfam family: Bacterial large subunit ribosomal RNA
Source: RNAcentral